AGUGAACGCUGGCGGUAGGCCUAACACAUGCAAGUCGAACGGCAGCACAGUAAGAGCUUGCUCUUACGGGUGGCGAGUGGCGGACGGGUGAGGAAUACAUCGGAAUCUACUUUUUCGUGGGGGAUAACGUAGGGAAACUUACGCUAAUACCGCAUACGACCUACGGGUUAAAGCAGGGGAUCUUCGGACCUUUCGCGAUUGAAUGAGCCGAUGUCGGAUUAGCUAGUUGGCGGGGUAAAGGCCCACCAAGGCGACGAUCCGUAGCUGGUCUGAGAGGAUGAUCAGCCACACUGGAACUGAGACACGGUCCAGACUCCUACGGGAGGCAGCAGUGGGGAAUAUUGGACAAUGGGCGAAAGCCUGAUCCAGCCAUACCGCGUGGGUGAAGAAGGCCUUCGGGUUGUAAAGCCCUUUUGUUGGGAAAGAAAAGCAGCAGGUUAAUACCCCGCUGUUCUGACGGUACCCAAAGAAUAAGCACCGGCUAACUUCGUG
RNAcentral lists this ribosomal RNA (492 nucleotides) under uncultured bacterium. RNAcentral describes it as "partial 16S ribosomal RNA". It matches the Rfam family "Bacterial small subunit ribosomal RNA", at positions 29 to 507 of the family's 1533-position model. The record is from RNAcentral.